AGUAGAGUGGCGCACGGGUGAGUAACGCGUGGAUAAUCUGCCUCUGCAUUGGGAAUAACAGCUGGAAACGGCUGCUAAUACCGCAUGACACAUAGGUGUCGCAUGGCACUUAUGUCAAAGAUUUAUCGCUGAAAGAUGGCCUCGCGUCUGAUUAGAUAGUUGGUGAGGUAACGGCCCACCAAGGCAACGAUCGGUAGCCGGACUGAGAGGUUGAACGGCCACAUUGGGACUGAGACACGGUCCAGACUCC
Molecule: ribosomal RNA, 250 nt
Filed under: uncultured Eubacteriales bacterium
Lineage: Bacteria; Bacillati; Bacillota; Clostridia; Eubacteriales
Description: uncultured Clostridiales bacterium partial 16S ribosomal RNA
Rfam family: Bacterial small subunit ribosomal RNA
Source: RNAcentral